RNAcentral lists this long non-coding RNA (1052 nucleotides) under Rattus norvegicus (Norway rat). Its description in RNAcentral is "long non-coding RNA NONRATT024313". The record is from RNAcentral. Lineage: Eukaryota; Metazoa; Chordata; Mammalia; Rodentia; Muridae.
CUAGGAGCUCUAUGUCCUCAUGGGCAUAAACCCAACUGGUUUGUCCCACUGGUGGGGGCGUGGGUUGGUCUGGGCUAUUUAAGGGCAAGAUUUGUUUGCUCAUGGCCGCUUCUCUCGCCGUGGCAUCGGCCAGCCGGUUUCCUCGUGCCUCUGGGUUGUGCCCUUUCUGGUGUCCUGGACAAUACAUAAUACUCAGUCUUUUGGGCAAGAAUAGAGCUUCUAAGAGGGCCAGAAUUUUAGCCUUAUUUUUAAUAUCUUUACCCUCAGAUGUGAGCAGCCCCCGCCUCCGGUAGAUCUCCCCGUGGAUGUGUACCGUGGCAAAGGCAUAACGGCUGUCUGUAUAUAUAUUUAGCCUCUUACCUUUUGUCAUCUUGAGCGCCUGAGUCAAGGCGAUGAGUUCAGCCCGUUGUGCGGAGGUACCAGCAGGCAGGGCUUUCGCCCAAAUCACUUUGUCCUCCGUAGUGACCGCAGCUCCAGCCUUUUACUCUCCCUCUGCCAAGAAGCUGUUGUCAUCCGUGUACCAUGUGUGGUCAGCAUUCUGAAGAGGCUGGUCCGAUAGGUCCGGCCUGGUUCCAUGUACUUCUGCGAGGAUUUGUAGGCAGUCAUGCUGUUUUGCCUCCUCUGGUAGAGGAAGCAAGGUGGCAGGAUUGAGAGCGACUACGGGCCCAAACUGAACCCGUUCUGUAUCCAGUAACAAGGCUUGGUGCGAGAAUUAGAGAGCCAGCGGUCUGGGGGCUGCUUUAUCAAGGCCUCCACUGCGUGGGGUGUUAGGAUGGUGAGUGGCUGUCCCAAAGUCAAUUUUCCAGUGUCCUUGAUCAGGACAGCAAUAGCAGCCACCAUCCUUAGGCACGGUGGCCAGCCGGAGGCCACAGGGUCCAAUUUCUUAGACAGGUAGGCCACAGGGCGUUUUCAGGGUCCCAACCUUUGUGUUAGGACCCCUUUAGCAUACCCCUGUUUCUCAUCGAUGAACAGUUACUGAGCAAAUUGUAAGGGUUUGGAACAGUCGGAUGAAUAUCUUCUAUCCUCUUGUUGACCUUUCUCAAGUCUUGUAC